GACGUAGGAGGCGAGCGUUAUCCGGAUUCACUGGGCGUAAAGCGCAUGUAGGCGGUUCGACAAGUCGUGUGUGUAAGCCCCUGGCUCAACUGGGGGAGGUCAUGCGAGACUGUGGGACUGGAGGGCAGCAGAGGCGUAUGGAACUCCCGGUGUAGCGGUGGAAUGCGUAGAGAUCGGGAAGAACACCAGUGGCGAAGGCGGUACGCUGGGCUGCACCUGACGCUGAGAUGCGAAAGUGUGGGGAGCAAACGGG
RNAcentral lists this ribosomal RNA (253 nucleotides) under uncultured bacterium. Its description in RNAcentral is "partial 16S ribosomal RNA". It matches the Rfam family "Bacterial small subunit ribosomal RNA", at positions 524 to 776 of the family's 1533-position model. The record is from RNAcentral.